RNAcentral lists this ribosomal RNA (411 nucleotides) under uncultured Apusomonadidae. RNAcentral describes it as "SSU rRNA". It matches the Rfam family "Eukaryotic small subunit ribosomal RNA", at positions 585 to 972 of the family's 1831-position model. The record is from RNAcentral. Lineage: Eukaryota; Apusomonadida; Apusomonadidae.
CCAGCUCCAAUAGCGUAUAUUAAAGUUGUUGCAGUUGAAAAGCUCGUAGUUGGAUUUCUUUCUUGUCUGUUUAAUGCUUUCGAAUGGGUGGCCCUCACGGGUUAACUGGUUGAAGGCGCAGGCAAGAACUAAACUUUUCUCGAAGACCCGGUGUGCUCUUAACUGGGCGUGCCGAUCAGGGAUUCGGGACCUUUACUUUGAAAAAAUUAGAGUGUUCAAAGCAGGCUUAAGGCUUGAAUAGAUUAGCAUGGAAUAAUGGAAUAGGACUUUGGUUCUAUUUUGUUGGUUUCAGGGACCGAAGUAAUGAUUAACAGGGAUAGUUGGGGGCAUUAGUAUUUAAUUGUCAGAGGUGAAAUUCUUGGAUUUAUGAAAGACUAACUUCUGCGAAAGCAUUUGCCAAGGAUGUUUUCA